This 260-nucleotide ribosomal RNA is filed under the name uncultured bacterium. RNAcentral describes it as "partial small subunit ribosomal RNA". It matches the Rfam family "Bacterial small subunit ribosomal RNA", at positions 26 to 285 of the family's 1533-position model. The record is from RNAcentral.
AGAAUCAACGCUGGCGGCGUGCCUAACACAUGCAAGUCGAACGAGAAAGUGGAGCAAUCCAUGAGUAAAGUGGCGACCGGGUGAGUAACACGUGACUAACCUACCUUCAAGUGGGGGAUAACCUCGGGAAACCUGGGCUAAUACCGCAUAACAUCUUUGGAGUGGAAAUUCUGGAGAUCAAAGGAGCAAUUCGCUGGAAGAGGGGGUCGCGGCUGAUUAGCUAGUUGGCGGGUAAUGGCCCACCAAGGCUUUGAUCGGUA